This 329-nucleotide unclassified non-coding RNA is filed under the name soil metagenome. Its description in RNAcentral is "partial contains 5.8S ribosomal RNA, internal transcribed spacer 2, and large subunit ribosomal RNA". The stretch from base 1 to 120 matches the Rfam family "5.8S ribosomal RNA", at positions 35 to 154 of the family's 154-position model. The record is from RNAcentral.
GAUGAAGAACGUAGCGAAAUGCGAUAAGUAAUGUGAAUUGCAGAAUUCAGUGAAUCAUCGAAUGUUUGAACGCACAUUGCGCCCCCUGGUAUUCCGGGGGGCAUGCCUGUUCGAGCGUCAUUACAACCCUCAAGCUCUGCUUGGUGUUGGGCCCCGCCGCCCCGGCGGGCCCUAAAAUCAGUGGCGGUGCCGUCCGGCUCCGAGCGUAGUAAUUCUUCUCGCUCUGGAGGUCCGGGUGUGUGCUCGCCAGCAACCCCCAAUUUUUUUCAGGUUGACCUCGGAUCAGGUAGGGAUACCCGCUGAACUUAAGCAUAUCAAUAAGCGGAGGA